CGCAGGCGGCUGGUCAAGUCCGAUGUGAAAUCUCCCGGCUUAACUGGGAAACUGCAUCGGAAACUGAUCGGCUUGAAGGUGGGAGAGGGUAGUGGAAUUCCCGGUGUAGUGGUGAAAUGCGUAGAUAUCGGGAGGAACACCAGUGGCGAAGGCGACUACCUGGCCCAUUCUUGACGCUGAGGCGCGAAAGCUAGGGGAGCGAACG
RNAcentral lists this ribosomal RNA (205 nucleotides) under uncultured bacterium. Its description in RNAcentral is "partial 16S ribosomal RNA". It matches the Rfam family "Bacterial small subunit ribosomal RNA", at positions 570 to 774 of the family's 1533-position model. The record is from RNAcentral.